RNAcentral lists this ribosomal RNA (1394 nucleotides) under uncultured bacterium. RNAcentral's name for it is "16S ribosomal RNA". It matches the Rfam family "Bacterial small subunit ribosomal RNA". The record is from RNAcentral.
UCCUGGCUCAGGAUGAACGCUAGCGACAGGCUUAACACAUGCAAGUCGAGGGGCAGCGGGGGAGUAGCAAUACUCCCGCCGGCGACCGGCGCACGGGUGAGCAACACGUAUGAAACCUGCCCGUAGCAGGGGGAUAAGCGGAAGAAAUUCCGUCUAAUACCGCGUAACAACCCUUGGAGGCAUCUCCUCGGGUUUAAAGGGAGCGAUUCCGGCUACGGAUGGUCAUGCGUCGCAUUAGCUUGUUGGCGGGGUAACGGCCCACCAAGGCGACGAUGCGUAGGGGUUCUGAGAGGAAGGUCCCCCACACUGGUACUGAGACACGGACCAGACUCCUACGGGAGGCAGCAGUGAGGAAUAUUGGUCAAUGGCCGCAGGGCUGAACCAGCCAAGUCGCGUGAGGGAUGACGGUCCUAUGGAUUGUAAACCUCUUUUGUCAGGGAGCAAAGGGCGUCACGUGUGGCGUUUUGCGAGUACCUGAAGAAAAAGCAUCGGCUAACUCCGUGCCAGCAGCCGCGGUAAUACGGAGGAUGCGAGCGUUAUCCGGAUUUAUUGGGUUUAAAGGGUGCGCAGGCGGAAUGUCAAGUCAGCGGUAAAAUUUCGGGGCUCAACCCCGUCGUGCCGUUGAAACUGGCGUUCUUGAGUGAGCGAGAAGUAUGCGGAAUGCGUGGUGUAGCGGUGAAAUGCAUAGAUAUCACGCAGAACUCCGAUUGCGAAGGCAGCAUACCGGCGCUCAACUGACGCUCAUGCACGAAAGCGUGGGUAUCGAACAGGAUUAGAUACCCUGGUAGUCCACGCAGUAAACGAUGAAUACUAACUGUCCGGGCAGAAUGAUGUCUGGGUGGUACAGCGAAAGCGUUAAGUAUUCCACCUGGGGAGUACGCCGGCAACGGUGAAACUCAAAGGAAUUGACGGGGGCCCGCACAAGCGGAGGAACAUGUGGUUUAAUUCGAUGAUACGCGAGGAACCUUACCCGGGCUCAAACGACGGAUGGAUGUUUCUGAAAGGAGGCAGUCCUACGGGACAUCCGUCGAGGUGCUGCAUGGUUGUCGUCAGCUCGUGCCGUGAGGUGUCGGCUUAAGUGCCAUAACGAGCGCAACCCCCAUCGCCAGUUACCAGCAAGUAAAGUUGGGGACUCUGGCGAGACUGCCGGCGCAAGCUGUGAGGAAGGCGGGGAUGACGUCAAAUCAGCACGGCCCUUACGUCCGGGGCAACACACGUGUUACAAUGGCAGGUACAGAGAGAUGCGACACGGCGACGUGGAGCGGAACUUCAAAACCUGUCUCAGUUCGGAUCGGAGUCUGCAACCCGACUCCGUGAAGCUGGAUUCGCUAGUAAUCGCGCAUCAGCCAUGGCGCGGUGAAUACGUUCCCGGGCCUUGCACACACCGCCCGUCA